RNAcentral lists this long non-coding RNA (3114 nucleotides) under Sus scrofa (pig). RNAcentral describes it as "lncRNA (ENSSSCG00050005711.1)". Lineage: Eukaryota; Metazoa; Chordata; Mammalia; Artiodactyla; Suidae. The record is from RNAcentral.
CCUAUACAAUCUGUGUGUUCUGGCUGCUUUGGUGGGAGAGCUCAAUCUGAAGUCACAUCCCCAGGGUUUGCUGGCAGUUACCACCUUUGUAGAAGGUGGGGCUGGAAGUGGAGGUGCUAGAGCCAGAGCCAGGUGUGAGCUGGGGCUUCUCCUCUGGUAAGUAGCCAGCCUAACCCUAUCAGGGGUAAGGGCAGAUCCCAGGUGCUGGAGCAAAUCCUUGAGGGUCAGGUCUGAACUGGCUCAUUCCCUGUAAGUGUGUGUACACUUUCCCCUCCCAGCCUUGGCACCUUUGUCCCAGAGGGGAGCAUGCUGGAACAAAAAGGAGCUGAAGUGGGUACCCAAUGUGUGCUGAAGUGUGUGCUGGGGCAGCUCUGGCACCGGUCACAGUUCCAGACUACUCCUGAUCUGCUGCCCCAAUAAAUGCCAGUUAUGACCACUCUUGGCCUGUUCAGAUGCCUUGCCAGCACCACAAGUAGGCACCCUCCUUGGCCACAGCAGCCUUCACCCUAAUGAGGAGCUGCAUUGCAUAGCAAAAGGGACGCGUGUGUGUGCUUAGAGUGGGCCAGGGUGUAGUCUGGGUAGGUCGUGGGAAACUGACCAGGGCCCAGGCUGUUUCAGUCUGCUUCCUCCACUUUGUUUAGGCAGUAAGCAAGUGUGUGCCCACUCUUCACAAGUGGAGUCUAGGUUUGUCACGGGCCUACUGUUAGCCCACUAAUGUUCAAACCAUCAAGGGGAUUCAUCCUCCAGGUGUUGGAUCCCAGGGCUGGGGUCCCUGAUAUAUGGUUCCAACUACUCAUUCCCCAGGUAGUUAUCUCCAAGCCUAUGUAAUUCCCCUUCCUCUUCUGUGUCCUCUUCCAGGGUACAGGUCCCAACCUGAUCACUCCUCCCUUCCUGCCUGUGUCUGCAUGGCUCUUUCUUACAGCUUUGGUUAUGGAAGCAUCUUUCUGCUAGUUUCCAGUUAGUUCUCAGGGAGAAUUGCUCCUCACGCAGAUGUAUUUUUGAUGUGUUUUAGGGGAGGCAAUCUGAGGCAUUUUCUGGGCAACAGUUGAAAAAAUUAGGGCUCUAGUCCAGUUUCUAAACUCCUUUAUGGGAGAUGUUGGUGGCCGUAGUAAUGCAGAGGCAGAGCAUGUGAUGGUCCCAGCCCAGGUUUUCAGAGAGCACCUCCAUUCCAGAGAGGGGGGCCAUCUCUCUUAGUGUCCUGGGGUUGGGAGCCUACCCCUGGAAACUCUGUCACAGUCUGGUAGGACCCAGGGAUGCAAGUCCACCAACCAUAUUCAAGGGGCACCUCUGGGCAGCAGCUGCAAAAACUGGGCACCAGAUGUAAGAACAGGACCAUCAAUCACAUGAAAUAACUCCCCCAAUUGAUGCCAGCUUUGGUACUAAGUAUAGAGAAUGCAGAUAGCACCCACCUUUUGAGGUCUCUGGAAAGGUUUAUGCUCAGCCCUUAGAUCUGUGUUUCAUUAGAAGCCUGCCUCUCAGGCCACAUCUGUGAUGAUUAGCUAAUAGGUCCCUUUUCCAGAAAGACUGAGCUCCUGAGUCUGUUGCCUCUUGCUGUGCCCAGAGGGUGGGAGCUGUGAGACUCUUUCUUUGAUGGUUACAGUCUCUGGGACCUGCACGUGUUAAGGCCCACUGGCAACUUCAGUUAGGUGAUGUAGAGGUAACCCCAGGUAGCAACACCAGGCACCUUCCUAGGAGAUACCACUGAACUGCAGCAGGGCAGAGGAAGAGUGCAAAGAUUGCUCCACCAGCCUCCAUUCCCAUGGAGCAGCUCUCUAGGCCCUACAAGCAUGGAUUCCAGAGGCGUGCCCCUCAGACCACAGCUCCUAGAUGGCAGAUAGACCUCUGCCUCAAAAAGACUGGGCAUAUGUUUCUGUCUGCUUUCUGCAGUGCCCUGAGGUGGCAGUCUGCCAAGAACUGUCUCUCCAGUUACAGGCCCAGGGGGCCCAGGAACACAAGCCCCCAGCCUUCAGAGCCAGGCAAUCAAGGGGUAUCCCCUGGGAUAUAGCCUUAAAAAUCAGGCACCAGGUGUAAACAUCAGGGCAUUAGAUGUGUAUAAAAUCUCUUCUCCAAGGGAUGCUGGUGUUGUGGAGUGUGGCAGAAGGCACGUGUGAAGAUGUGCACCCUCUAAGGAAAAAUAAAAAUGAUGGUGCUUGCUGGUUCCAGCAAGGCAGAGGGAGCAUUCAAAGAUGGUAUCUACAGAGAAAAUAGAGGCAAAAACUAGAGUAACUGAAGUUUAUCCGCCAGCUUCAGCCGCGGAAAACAGUGCAACCUGGAGUUUCUCAACAAGCCCAGCUCCUCGGCUGAUGCUCUGAUUAUCUAGUGAAUCUCUGCUGUCAAGUCUGGGCCCAAAGAGGGUGCCUCUUGGUCUCUCGUGGAUGCGGGGCCACAUGGAGUUCAAACCAGAUGUUUUGGGGACUCCUCUCAGUGUCCAAUGUGGGAGUCCAACCUCUGGCUCCUCCAGGAGAAGCUCUAGGUUUGAGAUCCCCUCCUGGUGGCAGCUGGCCAUGCCAGGAGUGGGUUUACAGGGAUGCGGUAUCAGCCUCUCCCAUCUGCUUCCAUGUGGCUCUUUUCUCCUUUGUCAGUGACGUGAGCCGCUGCUUGGCUAGUUUGAGGUGCUUUUCAGAGGAAAUUGUUCCACUGGUGGCUUUGGACGUGUCUGUGGGAGGAGGUGAGCUCAGAAUGCUCUUACCUUGCCAUCUUCCUCAGCUUCCUCCACUUCAGAUCCUGAUGGCUAAACUGGGGCUCUGAGGACAAUGUCUUUGUUCAUAGGAAACUGUCACUGAGGAUCCUGGGGCAUUGGUUUGGCAGCUUACUCUUCAGAUUUUUUUCUUUUUUUCUGUACAUACAACUUUUCGUGAGAUUGUUUCAAAAGAGAAAAAUAAUUUCAAAAAUGUUCACCCUGGAGUUCCCAUUGUGGUGCAGUGGAAACAAAUCCAACUAGGAACCAUGAGGUUGUGGGUUCGAUCCCUGGCCUUGCUCAGUGAGUUAAAGAUGCUGCGUUGCCAUAAGGUGGCAGACAUGGCUCGGAUUUGGUGGUGUUGUGGCUGUGGUAUAGGCCAGUGGCUACAGCUCCAAUUAGUCCCCUAGCCUGGGAACCUCCAUAUGCUGUGGAUG